This 118-nucleotide ribosomal RNA is filed under the name Pteropus alecto (black flying fox). The record is from RNAcentral. Lineage: Eukaryota; Metazoa; Chordata; Mammalia; Chiroptera; Pteropodidae.
GUCUAUGGCCAUGCCACCCUGAUGUGCCUGAUUUCAUUAGAUCUUGGAAGCUAAGCAGGGUCGGGCCUGGUUAGUACUUGGAUGGGAGACCAUCUAGGAAUACCAGGUGCUGUAGGCA